GCCGUGAUGAAAUAAAAAUUCUGAUAUCAUUGAAGAUUCUCAUUUUGUCCUCUAAGAAGAACUGAGCUU
Small nucleolar RNA from Cloeon dipterum, 69 nucleotides. RefSeq annotates it as small nucleolar RNA SNORD61. The transcript has a single exon. Lineage: Eukaryota; Metazoa; Arthropoda; Insecta; Ephemeroptera; Baetidae. The record is from RefSeq and is a predicted model, not a curated record.